UACGAAGGGGGCGAGCGUUGUUCGGAUUUACUGGGCGUAAAGGGCGCGCAGGCGGCUCAUUUUGUCAGGCGUGAAAGCCCCGGGCUUAACCUGGGAACUGCGUUUGAUACGGAUGGGCUAGAGUUCGGGAGAGGAGAGUGGAAUUCCGAGUGUAGAGGUGAAAUUCGUAGAUAUUCGGAAGAACACCAGUGGCGAAGGCGGCUCACUGGCCCGUUACCGACGCUCAGGCGCGACAGCGUGGGGAGCAAACAGG
RNAcentral lists this ribosomal RNA (253 nucleotides) under uncultured bacterium. RNAcentral describes it as "partial 16S ribosomal RNA". It matches the Rfam family "Bacterial small subunit ribosomal RNA", at positions 524 to 776 of the family's 1533-position model. The record is from RNAcentral.